AGUUAGUGAAUGCAAAGAUGAGUAGGUUACGAGCUGAUUCCAGAGAAUCGUCACGUGGUGGAAGGCGAUAUCGGCAACUGAUUGAAGAUGGUCUUAGAUGCAGUUCUCAUCACCGAGCGUAAGUUAAGUGAUGGCGGGGACUCCCGUUACAGAGUUAGGGUAUGACCGUACUUGAACUGAUGUUAAGUACCCGAAGAGGAGCAAUUCGUGAGGGUUGCUUAAACUAAGGUGGUAACACGGAAAAAACACUUCCGUCCUUUAU
This 262-nucleotide non-coding RNA is filed under the name Paucilactobacillus vaccinostercus. RNAcentral's name for it is "Lactobacillus vaccinostercus T-box sequence". It matches the Rfam family "T-box leader". From Rfam's summary of the family: Uncharged tRNA acts as the effector for transcription antitermination of genes in the T-box leader family. T-boxes are found upstream of many aminoacyl-tRNA synthetase genes and some amino acid biosynthetic genes usually in Gram-positive bacteria. The anticodon of a specific tRNA base pairs to a specifier sequence within the T-box motif, and the NCCA acceptor tail of the tRNA base pairs to a conserved bulge in the T-box antiterminator hairpin. Lineage: Bacteria; Bacillati; Bacillota; Bacilli; Lactobacillales; Lactobacillaceae. The record is from RNAcentral.